UGACGUCGCGAGAUUUGGAGUUCGCGGGAGAACUUCUCUCUGCGGGCGGACCGAGAGAGCGCCCGCGCGCGGGAUUUUCAAGCGGCCGACCCCGGGAAUUGGAGCUGGCAUGAGCCUCUGGGUGGACAAGUACCGUCCCUGCUCUUUGGGACGGCUGGACUAUCACAAGGAGCAGGCCGCCCAGCUGCGCAACCUGGUGCAAUGUGGUGAUUUUCCUCAUCUCUUAGUGUAUGGACCAUCAGGUGCUGGAAAAAAGACAAGGAUUAUGUGUAUUCUACGUGAACUUUAUGGUGUUGGAGUGGAAAAAUUGAGAAUUGAACAUCAGACCAUCACAACUCCAUCUAAAAAGAAAAUUGAAAUUAGCACUAUUGCGAGCAAUUAUCACCUUGAAGUUAAUCCCAGUGAUGCUGGAAAUAGUGACCGGGUAGUAAUUCAAGAGAUGUUGAAAACAGUGGCACAAUCACAGCAACUUGAAACAAACUCUCAAAGAGAUUUUAAAGUGGUAUUACUGACAGAGGUUGACAAACUCACCAAAGACGCUCAACAUGCUUUGCGUAGAACCAUGGAAAAGUAUAUGUCCACUUGCAGAUUGAUCUUGUGUUGCAAUUCUACAUCUAAAGUGAUACCACCUAUUCGUAGUAGGUGCCUGGCAGUUCGUGUGCCUGCUCCCAGCAUUGAAGAUAUUUGUCACGUUUUAUCUACUGUGUGUAAGAAGGAAGGUCUGAAUCUUCCUUCACAACUGGCUCAUAGACUUGCAGAGAAGUCCUGCAGGAAUCUUCGAAAAGCCCUACUUAUGUGUGAAGCCUGCAGAGUGCAACAAUAUCCUUUUACUGCAGAUCAAGAAAUCCCUGAAACAGAUUGGGAGGUGUAUCUGAGGGAGACUGCUAAUGCUAUUGUCAGUCAGCAGACUCCACAAAGGCUCCUUGAAGUCCGUGGAAGACUUUAUGAGCUUCUAACUCAUUGUAUUCCUCCUGAAAUUAUAAUGAAGGGCCUUCUCUCAGAACUUUUACAUAAUUGUGAUGGACAGCUGAAAGGGGAAGUGGCCCAGAUGGCAGCUUACUAUGAACAUCGUCUACAGCUGGGUAGCAAAGCCAUUUAUCACUUGGAAGCAUUUGUAGCCAAAUUUAUGGCACUUUAUAAGAAGUUCAUGGAGGAUGGAUUGGAAGGCAUGAUGUUUUGACAUCUUGACAGCUAUCCUUAAUUCUUCCUAAUAUAUCUCAGUAUCAUCAUUUACAUCCAUUUUAUAUUGGAAGAGCUGCAGAUCUCUGCUGUGCAUAUUCAACCACCUUAGCUUCUGAAUUCUCUUUUCUCCAGCUCAUUGUUAUCACAGUUGUCUGCCUGGAUUUGCCCUUCUUACCCUGCAGGAAAGUGCCUCUAGGCAAAAAUCAGGUGACUUUAGUUUACCUCAUUGGUUUUUUUUUCUCUUAUGCCUUACAGUCUUGCAUUCUCUGUUCAACAUCUAUUACAGAGUUGCUUUAUGUAUUUUGUCUAGUUUUCUAGUUGUUUACAGUGGGAAAGCAAGUCCAGUAUCAGUUACUCUUACAUAAUUGGUAGUGAAAGUCUUAAAGAUUUUAACUGAAAGCCCUAAUUUCUGUAAAACUCUAUGAUUUAAUGUAUUUUUUCCCAGUGGUAUUGAGGUAUAAUUGACAUCUAACAUUCUGUAAGUUUAUGUUAUACAGUGUGUUGAUAUGAUAUACGUAAUUGCCAAAUGAGUAUCCUCAUAGUUUUAGCUAACACCUCUCUCAUCAUAUCACAUCAAAUAAUUACUAUUUCAUUUUUAUGGUGAGACCGUUAGAUUUCAGUAACUUUCAAGUAUAUAAUACAGUGUUAUUAAUUAUAAUCACCAUGCUGUACCUUAGAGCCCCAGAACUUACUCCUCUUAAAACUUGAAGUUUAUAUUCUUUGA
Molecule: RNA transcript, 1906 nt
Organism: Felis catus (domestic cat)
Lineage: Eukaryota; Metazoa; Chordata; Mammalia; Carnivora; Felidae
Gene: RFC3
Gene name: replication factor C subunit 3
Exons: 10
Source: RefSeq, a predicted model, not a curated record